This is a long non-coding RNA of Cynoglossus semilaevis (tongue sole), 1605 nucleotides long. RefSeq lists it as uncharacterized. The transcript is spliced from 3 exons. The record is from RefSeq and is a predicted model, not a curated record. NCBI's taxonomy places the organism in Eukaryota, Metazoa, Chordata, Actinopteri, Pleuronectiformes, Cynoglossidae.
AAAAAAACCCUAAACUUAUAAAUUAAAAAAAAAAAACAGGUAAUAAAGUCUUGAGGGAAAGAUCUAGAAAAUAAAAUUUUUAGCUUUGGCAAGCAACACUUUGUUUUGACUUUUGAUUUUGAUUGGCUCAUAACUAAGAUGUGGUCUAAAAAGUUAAUUAUACAAUUUUUUAUGAUUAAUGUUAAUUUAUACAAGUAAUAAGAAAAAGGAAGUACUAAGAACUUGGCAACUACCUCACAAACCAAUAAUCCUGUCACCUUGCUACUGUUGCCCCUUUGCCUCUGAUUGGUUCUGACAAAUUUUCAGGUCUACUAGUAGUUAGCGCCUCACAGUGUGAGUUGAGGGGAGGCCUUCAGUGCCAUGGGGCUUUGCAGUAUUUCGUUCCCCUCUUGGGUAAUUGCGAGCAGCUGCACGGCCAAGGAAGCAGGGCUUUGACUCAUUUCCACCUCACCAGAACCUAGGGUUAGGGUUAGAGUCUACAGACCACUCAUAUGCACCUUAUAGUAAACUGAUUUUGAGCCACAACCAAAUCAACAUCACUAACAGUGUUACUGUGAAGGUGUGGUACCUCUGUGCUGCACAGUGUAAACUGGACAAAAUUAGUCCGAAAAUAGAACAGAAAAAGGUUUUAUUGUUGUUUCUGUGUUAAAGGGACAUUCUCUUCUUUCUUUGGACUACAGUAUGCAUUCGAUCAAGAGUUCACUUCUGCCUCCUGUUUGAUCCAGCUUCCUGGAUCCUUGAACCACCUAUACUUGCUGCCUGGCUUUCCUUUUGUACAUUCACCAGCUGGUGUUUCCAACAAACUGUAGUAUGAGCCAAGUUACUUACUUUGGUAUGAAACAGUCGGCAAAAAUGAGAGAAAAAAAUAUUUUGACCAGGUAAAAUUAGUAUGCCAUGUAACAGGUCAUUGCCCUCCCUGCCACUAGAGGGCACUGUGCUAACCUGCUGUAUAUCAUCAUUGGAGCUAGUACUAUGUGGCCAUUGUGGUGGAAACACUCGUUCUCCACUUCCUCCAUGUGGUCUGUUGGUCAGUGUGAAGGUCUGUUUCAAAUAUUGUUGAAUGUUUUUUUUCAGGUUAUUUUGCUGCUUUGGCCUAGUGUGUGAAUUGAGGAGUGGUGACCUGAAGGUGGUUAAGGUGCUGGUCUGAAACACCCUGAUCGCCACACUUCCCUCAGCGUGCCCCAUCACCAGCAUUUCUUCACAGGGUGUGGAGGAGGCUCGGCUACUUGGCUGUAGCUCAAAUGGUUCUGAUUAUCAUGGGCUGUAUGGAAACGACAGGUCCUCUCUGCCAGCACGGCGGUUUCCACCCUGCCUCGCUACCACACGCACUCUCACUCCUCCUCCAUCAGACCCACGUUCACCCACCACACUACUGCGUGGAAGAGCAGGCAGACCCCGGCACCCUCACCCCCACCACAUCCUACGCAUGCACACACACACACACACACACACAAAUGUAAAUCAGCCCUCUGGACAGCCAGGCUGAAAAGGCAGAAGAAGUCAGGAGCGUAUGGCCAAACAGCGGGGCAUCCACCCAGAGCCCCUCACCCUUACGUCACCACUUGUUCUCACCCCUCUCCAUCGCUCUCUUUCUUUUCUCUUUCU